This is a long non-coding RNA of Lucilia sericata (common green bottle fly), 247 nucleotides long. RefSeq lists it as uncharacterized. The record is from RefSeq and is a predicted model, not a curated record. The transcript is spliced from 2 exons. Lineage: Eukaryota; Metazoa; Arthropoda; Insecta; Diptera; Calliphoridae.
UUUUAGAUUGAAUUGGAAAAUCUGAAUACAGCCACCGAUGAGAUUAAUAAAUUGGAAAUUGAAUUAGAGGAAGCUAACUCCACCUUUCGCAUUUUGAUGAAUGAAUCAACUAGACGCUUAAAAUUAUCCUCCAAAAAACUUGGCAGCUGUAUAGAUAAGGCUAGACCCUAUUAUGAAGCUUUGGAAAAAGCUAGAGAAGCACAAAUUGAGUGCCAAAAGGCAGCAGUUAAAUUUCAAAGAGCUAAUG